Molecule: ribosomal RNA, 414 nt
Filed under: uncultured microorganism
Description: bacterial SSU rRNA
Rfam family: Archaeal small subunit ribosomal RNA
Source: RNAcentral
CAGCAGCCGCGGUAAUACCGGCGGCCCGAGUGGCGGCCACUAUUAUUGGGCUUAAAACGUCCGUAGCCGGGUUGGUUAGUCUCCCGGGAAAUCUGGCCGCUUAACGGUCAGAAUUCCGGGAGAUACUGCCAGCCUAGGGACCGGGAGAGGCCGAGGGUAUUCCCGGAGUAGGGGUGAAAUCCUAUAAUCCCGGGAGGACCACCUGUGGCGAAGGCGCUCGGCUGGAACGGGUCCGACGGUGAGGGACGAAGGCCAGGGGAGCAAACCGGAUUAGAUACCCGGGUAGUCCUGGCUGUAAACGAUGCGGACUUUGUGUCGGACAAGCUAUGAGCUUGUCCGGUGCCGGAGGGAAACCGUUAAGUCCGCCGCCUGGGGAGUACGGCCGCAAGGCUGAAACUUAAAGGAAUUGGCGGG